CGAAAACACACAGGUGGUCUAGAUCCAUAAUUUUCGCGAUUUUUGUGUUGUUGUUCAUUGUUUUGUUGUUUGAUAACUAAGCAAAUUUUCAAAAUAUUUAAAUAUUUUCAAAACCUAGUCACUGUUCAAUUACGAAAGGGGACACAUCGACAAAUUGAUAACGGCCGCAUUUAUCCUUGUAUAAUUUUCGCAAUAAGAUUGACCCAGUUUUCAAAACAAAUAAUAAGUUUCUUAUAACGUGCUGCCUCACGGUACAGAAAAAUUAUUUU
This is a long non-coding RNA of Bradysia coprophila, 269 nucleotides long. Lineage: Eukaryota; Metazoa; Arthropoda; Insecta; Diptera; Sciaridae. The record is from RefSeq and is a predicted model, not a curated record.